This 264-nucleotide long non-coding RNA is filed under the name Elaeis guineensis (African oil palm). Its description in RNAcentral is "long non-coding RNA (EGUI_LNC058009)". The record is from RNAcentral. Lineage: Eukaryota; Viridiplantae; Streptophyta; Magnoliopsida; Arecales; Arecaceae.
CCUACUCUUACAAUGGAUCAACUAUCGCCAACAUCCACUACUAGAACUCAUUGAGAUCAUAUUUAUGUGUCAGUCAAACUCCAGUAGCCUCACUGUGAGUAAUCAUACCAUCACAGAUCAAAAAACUAUUCACAUAAUUACAGUAUCCAGACAAUCACUGAUGAUCAAGUAGAAAUCCAAGUAAUCUCUUAUAUGGUCAUGCUUAAUACUAGUUGUUCUUUAACAAUUAUCUGCACUCGUCGCUCAGUAUCUCCACACUGUAGA